AAAGGGGUGCUAAUACCGGAUAAGGUCCUUCUUCCGCAUGGGAGGGGGAGGAAAGGGGAAACCCGCCGGAGGAGGGGCUCGCGGCCCAUUAGCUAGUUGGUGUGGUGAAGGCGCACCAAGGCGACGAUGGGUAGCCGGCCUGAGAGGGUGAACGGCCACACUGGGACUGAGACACGGCCCAGACUCCUACGGGAGGCAGCAGUCGGGAAUCUUCGACAAUGGGCGAAAGCCUGAUCGAGCAACGCCGCGUGGGUGAGGACGGCCUUCGGGUUGUAAAGCCCUGUCCUGGGGGACGAAAAAAAUGACGGUACCCCGGGAGGAAGCCCCGGCUAACUACGUGCCAGCAGCCGCGGUAAUACGUAGGGGGCAAGCGUUGUCCGGAAUCACUGGGCGUAAAGGGCGUGUAGGCGGCCGCUUAAGUUUGGUGUGAAAGGCAUGGGCUCAACCCGUGGACUGCAUCGAAAACUGGGCGGCUUGAGGGUAGUAGAGGAGAGCGGAAUUCCCGGUGUAGCGGUAAAAUGCGUAGAUAUCGGGAGGAACACCAGUGGCGAAGGCGGCUCUCUGGGCUAUACCUGACGCUGAGGCGCGAAAGCUAGGGGAGCAAACGGGAUUAGAUACCCCGGUAGUCCUAGCCGUAAACGAUGGGUACUAGGUGUAGGGGGUAUCGACCCCCCCCUGUGCCGGAGUUAACGCAAUAAGUACCCCGCCUGGGGGAGUACGGCCGCAAGGUUGAAAACUCAAAGGAAUUGACGG
Molecule: ribosomal RNA, 753 nt
Filed under: uncultured bacterium
Lineage: Bacteria
Description: bacterial SSU rRNA
Rfam family: Bacterial small subunit ribosomal RNA
Source: RNAcentral